CCUACGGGAGGCAGCAGUGAGGAAUAUUGGUCAAUGGACGAGAGUCUGAACCAGCCAAGUAGCGUGAAGGAUGACUGUCCUAUGGGUUGUAAACUUCUUUUAUAGGGGAAUAACGAGUCCACGGUGUGGCGUUUUGUAUGUACCAUAUGAAAAAGCAUCGGCUAACUCCGUGCCAGCAGCCGCGGUAAUACGGAGGGUCCGGGCGUUAUCCGGAUUUAUUGGGUUUAAAGGGAGCGUAGGCGGAUUGUUAAGAGUGUUGUGAAAGGUUGCGGCUCAACCGUAACAUUGCAGUUGAAACUGGCAGUCUUGAGUACGGUAGAGGUGGGCGGAAUUCGUGGUGUAGCGGUGAAAUGCUUAGAUAUCACGAAGAACUCCGAUUGCGAAGGCAGCUCACUGGACUGCAACUGACGCUGAGGCUCGAAGGUGUGGGUAUCGAACAGGAUUAGAUACCCUAGUAGUC
This 460-nucleotide ribosomal RNA is filed under the name uncultured bacterium. RNAcentral's name for it is "partial 16S ribosomal RNA". It matches the Rfam family "Bacterial small subunit ribosomal RNA", at positions 338 to 795 of the family's 1533-position model. The record is from RNAcentral.